Molecule: ribosomal RNA, 343 nt
Filed under: uncultured Bacillota bacterium
Lineage: Bacteria; Bacillati; Bacillota
Description: bacterial SSU rRNA
Rfam family: Bacterial small subunit ribosomal RNA
Source: RNAcentral
GAUGAACGCUGGCGGCGUGCCUAACACAUGCAAGUCGAACGGAGCACUAAGGAAGAAGUUUUCGGACAACGGAAUUAGUUGCUUAGUGGCGGACGGGUGAGUAACGCGUGAGUAACCUGCCUUGGAGAGGGGAAUAACACAUCGAAAGGUGUGCUAAUACCGCAUAAUGCAUAUGAAUCGCAUGGUUUAUAUGCCAAAAGAUUUAUCGCUCUGAGAUGGACUCGCGUCUGAUUAGCUAGUUGGUGAGGUAAUGGCUCACCAAGGCGACGAUCAGUAGCCGGACUGAGAGGUUGAACGGCCACAUUGGGACUGGAGACACGGCCCAGACUCCUACGGGUGGCUG